GUGAUUAGAGUUCGAUUAUGGCUCAGGAUGAACGCUAGCGGCAGGCUUAACACAUGCAAGUCGAGGGGUAACAUUGUAGCUUGCUACAGAUGACGACCGGCGAACGGGUGCGUAACGCGUAUAGAAUCUGCCUUGUACAGGAGGAUAGCCUUUAGAAAUGAAGAUUAAUACUCCAUAAUGUUGGUGAAUGGCAUCGUUUACUAAUUAAAGAUUUAUCGGUACAAGAUGACUAUGCGUCCUAUUAGCUAGAUGGUAAGGUAACGGCUUACCAUGGCAACGAUAGGUAGGGGGUCUGAGAGGAUUAUCCCCCACACUGGUACUGAGACACGGACCAGACUCCUACGGGAGGCAGCAGUGAGGAAUAUUGGUCAAUGGAGGCAACUCUGAACCAGCCAUGCCGCGUGCAGGAAGACUGCCCUAUGGGUUGUAAACUGCUUUUAUACAGGAAGAAACCUUACUACGUGUAGUAAGCUGACGGUACUGUAAGAAUAAGCACCGGCUAACUCCGUGC
RNAcentral lists this ribosomal RNA (511 nucleotides) under uncultured bacterium. Its description in RNAcentral is "bacterial SSU rRNA". It matches the Rfam family "Bacterial small subunit ribosomal RNA", at positions 1 to 508 of the family's 1533-position model. The record is from RNAcentral.